GACGAACGCUGGCGGCGUGCCUACUACAUGCAAGUCGAGCGACUUAUCCUUCGGGAUUUGGAGCGGCGGACGGGUGAGUAACACGUAGGUAACUUAUCCAAUAGACGGGGAUAAUCUCUGGAAACGGAGGGUAAUACCGGAUACGCCUCCUGGAUCGCAUGGUCCGGGUGGGAAAGAUUCCUUCGGGAGUCGCUUUUGGAGAGACCUGCGGUGCAUUAGCUAGUUGGUGAGGUAAUGGCUCACCAAGGCGACGAUGCAUAGCCGGCUUGGGAGAGCGGACGGCCACACUGGGACUGAGACACGGCCCAGACUCCUACGGGAGGCAGCAGUAGGGAAUUUUCCGCAAUGGGCGCAAGCCUGACGGAGCGACGCCGCGUGGGUGAAGACGGCCUUAGGGUUGUAAAGCCCUGUUCAUCGGGAAGAAGAAAUGACGGUACCGGUGAAGAAAGCCCCGGCUAACUACGUGCCAGCAGCCGCAGUAACAC
This 485-nucleotide ribosomal RNA is filed under the name uncultured bacterium. RNAcentral's name for it is "bacterial SSU rRNA". It matches the Rfam family "Bacterial small subunit ribosomal RNA", at positions 28 to 526 of the family's 1533-position model. The record is from RNAcentral.